Molecule: ribosomal RNA, 551 nt
Filed under: uncultured bacterium
Lineage: Bacteria
Description: bacterial SSU rRNA
Rfam family: Bacterial small subunit ribosomal RNA
Source: RNAcentral
UGGGGAAUUGUUCGCAAUGGGCGCAAGCCUGACGACGCAACGCCGCGUGGAGGAUGAAGACCUUCGGGUCGUAAACUCCUUUCGAUCGAGACGAAUUCCCCUGGGGUGAACAUCCCCGGGGGUCGACGGUACCGAGAGAAGAAGCCCCGGCUAACUCCGUGCCAGCAGCCGCGGUAAUACGGGGGGGGCAAGCGUUGUUCGGAAUUACUGGGCGUAAAGGGCUCGUAGGCGGCCAACUAAGUCAGACGUGAAAUCCCUCGGCUUAACCGGGGAACUGCGUCUGAUACUGGAUGGCUUGAGGGUAGGAGAGGGAUGCGGAAUUCCAGGUGUAGCGGUGAAAUGCGUAGAUAUCUGGAGGAACACCGGUGGCGAAGGCGGCAUCCAGGACUACUACUGACGCUGAGGAGCGAAAGCCAGGGGAGCAAACGGGAUUAGAUACCCCGGUAGUCCUGGCCCUAAACGAUGAAUGCUUGGUGUGACGGGUAUCGAUCCCUGUCGUGCCGAAGCUAACGCAUUAAGCAUUCCGCCUGGGGAGUACGGUCGCAAGGCUG